GCAUGGUGGCGCAGUGGUUAGCGCAGCUGCCUUUUAAUUAGGGGGCUCCGGGUUCAAGUUCUGGUAGGCG
Non-coding RNA from Gymnothorax javanicus (giant moray), 70 nucleotides. The record is from the annotation of a GenBank genome assembly. Lineage: Eukaryota; Metazoa; Chordata; Actinopteri; Anguilliformes; Muraenidae.